Molecule: long non-coding RNA, 583 nt
Organism: Phlebotomus papatasi
Lineage: Eukaryota; Metazoa; Arthropoda; Insecta; Diptera; Psychodidae
Exons: 2
Source: RefSeq, a predicted model, not a curated record
AAAAAGUACAGAAAUAUAAGCUAUGAAUCGUUCUUCUAUGAGGGUUUCAGUUAAAUUGCCAUUUUUGUGACUUAAAUAAAACCAACUCAUAAUGGAAUUUCUAUUAAAAUUACAAUUUAUUCUUAUUCUAAUUCUGUCUAUUGGAAAAUCUGGAAAAUGUGUUGACCAAAAAUAUUCCACAACUAUCACAAGUAGUGAGUUUUGUGGCAAGAACAUCUGUUGCAUGAAAUAUUUCGAUAUCUGUUAUGAACUCUAUGAAUUUCCAACUGAAGCUUUUUUUAAUUGUAUCGAAGACUGCGAACAAAGUGCCGGAGUAACUUUACCUAUAUUACCGAUAUGUCUAGAUCCAGUGGAAGAGCUAAGAAGGGUUGAUAUAUAAGAUGUCCGUAAUUUUCAGUGAAUCUAGGGAUCAGUGGAACCGUGGAACAAAUAUUGGAUAUGAGUGACCCAAGUAAAGUACUACGUUCACUACACAAUAUUAAAAAUUUGUUUCGUGCCUCACUUGAAAGAUAUCAUUUUUUUAAAAUAUCAAGAAUUAAAAAAGAUGUAUAUAUUUUAAAUAAAAGUUUUAAGUUUGACUUCA